UACGUAGGGUGCGAGCGUUGUCCGGAAUUAUUGGGCGUAAAGAGCUUGUAGGCGGUUUGUCGCGUCUGCCGUGAAAAUCCGAGGCUCAACCCCGGACUUGCGGUGGGUACGGGCAGACUAGAGUGUGGUAGGGGAGACUGGAAUUCCUGGUGUAGCGGUGAAAUGCGCAGAUAUCAGGAGGAACACCGAUGGCGAAGGCAGGUCUCUGGGCCACUACUGACGCUGAGAAGCGAAAGCGUGGGGAGCGAACAGG
RNAcentral lists this ribosomal RNA (253 nucleotides) under uncultured bacterium. RNAcentral describes it as "partial 16S ribosomal RNA". It matches the Rfam family "Bacterial small subunit ribosomal RNA", at positions 524 to 776 of the family's 1533-position model. The record is from RNAcentral.